Molecule: ribosomal RNA, 375 nt
Filed under: uncultured Actinomycetes bacterium
Lineage: Bacteria; Bacillati; Actinomycetota; Actinomycetes
Description: bacterial SSU rRNA
Rfam family: Bacterial small subunit ribosomal RNA
Source: RNAcentral
AACGCGAAGAACCUUACCAAGGCUUGACAUGAACCGGUAAUACCUGGAAACAGGUGCCCCGCUUGCGGGGUUUACAGGUGGUGCAUGGUUGGAGCGUGGUGAGAUGUUGGGUUAAGCCGCAACGAGCGCAACCCGUUAUGUUGCCAGCGGUGGCCGGGGACAUAGGAGACUGCCGGGGAACGGAGGAAGGUGGGGAUGACGAAGAAUGCCCCUUAAGCAGGGCUACGCAUGCUACAAUGGCCGGUACAGAGCGGCCAACGCAAGAGUGCGCCAAGCCAAAAGCCGGUAAGUGGAUUGUGGUGCAACGACCACAUGAAGCUGGAAGCUAGUAAGUGGAAGCCAUGCCACGGUGAAUACGUCCGGGUGUACACACCG